This 253-nucleotide ribosomal RNA is filed under the name uncultured bacterium. RNAcentral describes it as "partial 16S ribosomal RNA". It matches the Rfam family "Bacterial small subunit ribosomal RNA", at positions 524 to 776 of the family's 1533-position model. The record is from RNAcentral.
UACGUAGGGGGCAAGCGUUGUCCGGAAUCAUUGGGCGUAAAGCGCGUGUAGGCGGCUCGAUAAGUCCGUUCUGAAAGUCCAGGGCUCAACCCCGGGAUGCGGAUGGAUACUGUCGAGCUCGAGUCCGGAAGAGGCGAGUGGAAUUCCUGGUGUAGCGGUGAAAUGCGCAGAUAUCAGGAGGAACACCAAUGGCGAAGGCAGCUCGCUGGGACGUGACUGACGCUGAGACGCGAAAGCGUGGGGAGCAAACAGG